CAAAUGUCCAAAAACCCUUAUUUUUCUGGUGGUAAGGUAAUACCUGUCUUUUGUGUCUAUGCUAGUUUUUCUCGUCCUGAUGUGCAGCAGAUAUUUUGUAUUUGGACACUAACAUGCAUCAUUUUAUAAUUUUAAUAUAUUGCUUUUCGAUUCGAAUUAUUUUUGGUAAAGGUUUGUUUUUUAACGAUUCUCGCAGUACACC
Molecule: long non-coding RNA, 202 nt
Filed under: Mytilus galloprovincialis (Mediterranean mussel)
Lineage: Eukaryota; Metazoa; Mollusca; Bivalvia; Mytilida; Mytilidae
Source: RNAcentral